UUUAUCUUGUUAUCAUCAUUUAGUACUACUCUGCAUAUGGUUUCAUAUAUUUUGGUCUCACGGACAUUAGCACAAGCACCUGAUGUUCUAGUACAAGAAAUGACCAAUUGAAAAUCAAUGAUUUUUUCUAGUAGAUAGCAACACUACAAAAGAACGUGGACGAAUGUUCAUUAGCAUCAAUUGUAAAAAUGGGAUGCCAAAAACACACACGGACGUUCGGUUGCACUAUCUGCAGCCGUCCAAGUACAGGCACAACGGCAGCUGUCAAGCAGACCAAGUGCAGUAGCAGCUCCCUUCCCAUAUCCAGUCGCCAGCUCCAUGCCUCCAUCUUGUCCGUCCCUCACAACACUGAUUGCAGCAGGGAGAGGAAACAACAAGUGCUGGUGUAGCUUGGCAGGAUAGAGAGAUGGCGACCCACACAGUGAGCACACACAUCGAACUGAAAGAGGUCGCCUAGAACGUACUUCACAGUGAGCAUGCACACCCACACAUCCAUGUCCAGCUUGGCUUGGCCGGCAAGAGCGACAGAGGAGAGGAGCCGCUGUAGAGCCCAGGUGACCUCGUCGACUCCCUUAGAAGCCGGAGACUCGCUGUAGUGGUGCUGUGACUUGUGCUCAUACGAAGUUCCCUUCCAGGCAUGUAUCGGUGGAACUGCUGCCAAUUUUUUCUAUUGAACUGAUACAGACAAAUUGCCUCAAAUAUUUAUGGAAAUAUACUGAAGAAUGCUGCAGUUUUUUGCUGCAAGAAGUGUCGUUGUCCUCACUCUGAUGGAUUAACUCACCGCGGCAGCACCACUUCCUACGUGCUAGCAUCCGCUGCAUUUGUGGCCUAUGAAUGUCCUUUACGCAGUAGGUAGCCGAGAGCGACCACGCCGGCGCCGAAGGAGAGAAUCUCGUCGUUGUCCUUUGCUUUUGAGUAGUACGUCGCGGCUGGAUCCCUGGUGGGGGCCUGUGCCACGACGGCGCGCAGGGGCAUCACGCCGACGAGGGUCAGGCUGGUGGCUCGCACCGGGGAAGGAGACUGGUGGACCGCGUCACCGGAGGUGGAGGCGGGGUGGAUCAGGGAA
Triticum urartu is the source of this 1066-nucleotide non-coding RNA. The record is from RefSeq and is a predicted model, not a curated record. NCBI's taxonomy places the organism in Eukaryota, Viridiplantae, Streptophyta, Magnoliopsida, Poales, Poaceae.